Molecule: long non-coding RNA, 880 nt
Organism: Astatotilapia calliptera (eastern happy)
Lineage: Eukaryota; Metazoa; Chordata; Actinopteri; Cichliformes; Cichlidae
Source: Ensembl
UUAUCAUGUUUCUGGCCAGUGCAAUCAUCAGGGUGGGUCUGGGUUGAUAACUGCACAUUUCUGGCCAGAAAUGUUUCAGCAGUGUUACAUAUGUAGUGCAUAUGUUACACUUGCUUUCUGUUACCAGCUGAUACCCUACAUUUGUAUAGACAUUUGAUGGUGUGAGGUUGGGGAGUUGAGUGGGAGGGGGGGGGGGGGGGGGGGGUACGGUGGGAGUUGAGGGGGGGGGGUUUCCUUUCCUGUUAGGUUUCCUUUGUUUUUCUUUUUUUUUCUUUUUAAGAGAGACACAGUCCUCCUGUGUCUUCUCCAAUCUUCACAUGUAAAAUCCAACAAUGUGAAGCACAUAGCAGCCAGAAACUGUAAUGCCACAGAUCAGAGAAACUUCAUCAUCACCAUCUUCAUCGCCAUACGAUCAGAGCGUGAGACUUCACAUCUGGAGCACAGGAGAGAUUCUGUGAUAAGUCUUCCUUCUAGCUUGUCCCACAAGCAGUCGAGCCGAGACACUCAGGACUGAACAGACUGCACAGUUUCUGUGACUGAGCCUCCAAAACACCUUCUUUGAAACCACUCAUGAUAGAAGGGCUUCAUAUUUGCAGCAGCACUACUACAGUUGGCAGGAAUGUUGCUGCAGGAAAACAUCCCUGGAGAUCACCAUCAUUGUCAGACUGACUGUGCCUCCUCUGUGCAGUGUCAAGAUCCUCCCUAAAUGAGUGUGUAAGUUAACAUUUUCAUUAUUUUAUUCCCUUUGACAAGACAAGUAUCACUGAUAUUUACAUUUACAACUACAUAUUCCUGUUUUCUGCUCUUCUUUUAAAGUCCUCAGCUAUCCUGCUUCUGUGCUGCUUGCCACACAUCAAACACUGGCCGGAUGACAGGGAGG